GGAUCCAGACUUUGAUUAUGGCUCAUGAUGAACGCUAGCGGCAGGCUUAACACAUGCAAGUCGAGGGGCAGCGCGGGGCGGCAACGUCCUGGCGGCGACCGGCGGAAGGGUGCGUAACGCGUGAGCGACAUGCCCGUUGCCCGGGGACAACCGGUGGAAACGCCGACUAAUCCCCGAUGGGACGGAGGCCCUCAUGGGUCUCUGUUGAAAGUUACGGCGGCGACGGAUUGGCUCGCGUCCGAUUAGCUUGUUGGCGGGGUAACGGCCCACCAAGGCUACGAUCGGUAGGGGUUCUGAGAGGAAGGUCCCCCACAAUGGAACUGAGACACGGUCCAUACUCCUACGGGAGGCAGCAGUGAGGAAUAUUGGUCAAUGGGCGGAAGCCUGAACCAGCCAUGCCGCGUGCGGGAAGGAGGCCCUAUGGGCUGUGAACCGCUUUUGCCUGGGGGCAAUAAGGGCGUCGUGCACGUCCGAUGAGAGUACCAGGCGAAUAAGCAUCGGCUAACUCCGUGCCAGCAGCCGCGGUAAUACGGGGGAUGCGAGCGUUAUCCGGAUUCAUUGGGUUUAAAGGGUGCGUAGGCUGUGCGUCAAGUCAGGGGUGAAAUUCCGGGGCUCAACUCCGGGGCUGCCCUUGAUACUGUCGCGCUGGAGUGCGGAUGCCGCCGGAGGAAUGAGUGGUGUAGCGGUGAAAUGCUUAGAUAUCACUCAGAACACCGAUUGCGAAGGCAUCUGGCGAAUCCGUAACUGACGCUGAGGCACGAAAGCGUGGGGAUAGAACAGGAUUAGAUACCCUGGUAUUCCACGCCGUAAACGAUGAUGGCUAACCGCCGGCGACACACUGUCGGUGGCCAAGCGAAAGCGAUAAGCCAUCCACCUGGGGAGUACGUCGGCAACGAUGCAACUCAAAG
RNAcentral lists this ribosomal RNA (908 nucleotides) under uncultured Bacteroidota bacterium. Its description in RNAcentral is "bacterial SSU rRNA". It matches the Rfam family "Bacterial small subunit ribosomal RNA", at positions 1 to 906 of the family's 1533-position model. Lineage: Bacteria; Pseudomonadati; Bacteroidota. The record is from RNAcentral.